GACAAAUGCUGGCGGCAUGCCUAACACAUGCAAGUCGAACGGACAGAACAGGGAAGCUUUUCGGAGUGGAACUGGAAAGUUAGUGGCGGAUGGGUGAGUAACGCGUGGACAACCUACCUUGUAAAGGGGAAUAACCUCGAGAAAUCGAAGCUAAUACCCCAUAAUAACCUUGCUUCGCAUGAAGUAAGGAGGAAAGGCGGCCUUAGCGCUGUCGAUACAAGAUGGGUCCGCGUCUGAUUAGCUAGUUGGUGAGGUAAAGGCUCACCAAGGCGACGAUCAGUAAGCGGCCUGGGGGGGUGAACGGCCACAUUGGGACUGGGACACGGCCCAAACUCCUACGGGAGGCAGCAGUGGGGAAUCUUCCGCAAUGGGCGAAAGCCUGACGGAGCAAUGCCGCGUGAGUGAAGAAGGCCUUCGGGUUGUAAAACUCUGUCCUUAUCGAAGAGAGAGUGUUGUAGUAACUGACAAUACUAGGACGGUAGAUGAGGAGGAAGCCCCGGCUAACUAUGUG
RNAcentral lists this ribosomal RNA (511 nucleotides) under uncultured bacterium. Its description in RNAcentral is "partial 16S ribosomal RNA". It matches the Rfam family "Bacterial small subunit ribosomal RNA", at positions 28 to 507 of the family's 1533-position model. The record is from RNAcentral.